UUUCCAAGCAAACGGCCCCUUAGAGCGACUAAAAGAACUCUCUCAUUAAAAAAAAUAAACUAACCUGCUUGUCCUAAAAAGUUAUUGACUGUAUUUUUCUACUUCUGUCAUCCGGACACAUUGCAGAAUGUGAACUGUCAAUCCUUGUUUAAAGAAGUUCCAAUCUAGUCCUCAAAUGCCACACUGAAACACCCGGCUAAAAAAGCAAGCGUACAUCAUCACUGCACCAUAAAAAUGUGAAAUUUACCACAUAGAACAAACAAUGCAUAUUUCUAAGUUAUCCUCUCGCG
RNAcentral lists this long non-coding RNA (290 nucleotides) under Nicotiana benthamiana. RNAcentral describes it as "long non-coding RNA (NBEN_LNC027926)". The record is from RNAcentral. Lineage: Eukaryota; Viridiplantae; Streptophyta; Magnoliopsida; Solanales; Solanaceae.